Molecule: transfer RNA, 72 nt
Filed under: Camelus bactrianus (Bactrian camel)
Lineage: Eukaryota; Metazoa; Chordata; Mammalia; Artiodactyla; Camelidae
Also listed under: 1 other name
Rfam family: tRNA
About the family: Transfer RNA (tRNA) molecules are approximately 80 nucleotides in length. Their secondary structure includes four short double-helical elements and three loops (D, anti-codon, and T loops).
Source: Rfam by way of RNAcentral
CGGGGUACAGCUCAGUGGUAGAGCAUGUGCUUAGCAUGCAUGAGGUCCUGGGUUCAACCUGCAGUACCUCCA